This 253-nucleotide ribosomal RNA is filed under the name uncultured bacterium. RNAcentral's name for it is "partial 16S ribosomal RNA". It matches the Rfam family "Bacterial small subunit ribosomal RNA", at positions 524 to 776 of the family's 1533-position model. The record is from RNAcentral.
UACAGAGGGUGCGAGCGUUAAUCGGAGUUACUGGGCGUAAAGGGCGCGUAGGUUGUAUUGUAAGUUAGUUGUGAAAGCCCUGGGCUUAACCUGGGAAUUGCAACUAAGACUGUGAUACUAGAGUACUGUAGAGGGUAGUGGAAUUUCCGGUGUAGCGGUGAAAUGCGUAGAGAUCGGAAGGAACACCAGUGGCGAAGGCGGCUACCUGGACAGAUACUGACACUGAGGCGCGAGAGCGUGGGGAGCAAACAGG